UGUCUGUGAUGGAAGGUGUCUUUAAACAAUAGAAUGUGUCUGUGAUGGAAGGUGUCUUUAAACAAUAGAAUGUGUCUGUGAUGGAAGGUGUCUUUAAACAAUAGAAUGUGUCUGUGAUGGAAGGUGCUUUUAAACAAUAGAAUGUGUCUGUGAUGGAAGGUGUGGUACCUUUAAACAAUAGAAUGUGUCUGUGAUGGAAGGUGUGGUGUCUUUAAACAAUAGAAUGUGUCUGUGAUGGAAGGUGUCUUUAAACAAUAGAAUGUGUCUGUGAUGGAAGGUGUCUUUAAGAAAUAGAAUGUGUCUGUGAUGGAAGGUGUCUUUAAACAAUAGAAUGUGUCUGUGAUGGAAGGUGUGGUGCCUUUAAACAAUAGAAUGUGUCUGUGAUGGAAGGUGUAUUUAAACAAUAGACUGUGUCUGUGAUGGAAGGUGCCUUUAAACAAUAGACUGUGUCUGUGAUGGAAGGUGUCUUUAAGAAAUAGAAUGUGUCUGUGAUGGAAGGUGUGGUGCCUUUAAACAAUAGAAUGUGUCUGUGAUGGAAGGUGUGUUGCCUUUAAACAAUAGACUGUGUCUGUGAUGGAAGGUGUCUUUAAGAAAUAGAAUGUGUCUGUGAUGGAAGGUGUGGUGCCUUUAAACAAUAGAAUGUGUCUGUGAUGGAAGGUGUGUUGCCUUUAAACAAUAGACUGUGUCUGUGAUGGAAGGUGUCUUUAAGAAAUAAAAUGUGUCUGUGAUGGAAGGUGUGGUGCCUUUAAACAAUAGAAUGUGUCUGUGAUGGAAGGUGUGUUGCCUUUAAACAAUAGACUGUGUCUGUGAUGGAAGGUGUGGUGCCUUUAAACAAUAGAAUGUGUCUGUGAUGGAAGGUGUCUUUAAACAAUAGAAUGUGUCUGUGAUGGAAGGUGUGUUGUAUUUAAGAAUAGCUGGGUUGUAGCUGUAUGUUAUUCAGCAUGAAUGUGAUUUUCCCAGUAGCAUCUGGCUCUUGUGUAAGAGACUAGGGUCAGAGGGCACAGACCUUUC
Molecule: long non-coding RNA, 1011 nt
Organism: Oncorhynchus tshawytscha (Chinook salmon)
Lineage: Eukaryota; Metazoa; Chordata; Actinopteri; Salmoniformes; Salmonidae
Source: Ensembl